UCAAAGCUGACAUGGCUGGUCAACGGUCAACAGGUCAAAGUCAACGGUCAACGGCUGACUGGGCGCUGACGUGGCGCGUGGCUGAGACUAAUCUCGCUCGCCGAUAUUCAAACGGCUCGUGAGGGCGCGUCCGAACUCCGUUUUCGACGCGGUUUGGUGCUGAAGCUCCGUAUCGAUGAGAGGAACAAUCUGGUGCAAUCAAAAAUUAAUUUUGAGCA
RNAcentral lists this long non-coding RNA (218 nucleotides) under Actinidia chinensis (golden kiwifruit). RNAcentral's name for it is "long non-coding RNA (ACHI_LNC003554)". The record is from RNAcentral. Lineage: Eukaryota; Viridiplantae; Streptophyta; Magnoliopsida; Ericales; Actinidiaceae.